RNAcentral lists this long non-coding RNA (435 nucleotides) under Hordeum vulgare. RNAcentral's name for it is "long non-coding RNA (HVUL_LNC013302)". Lineage: Eukaryota; Viridiplantae; Streptophyta; Magnoliopsida; Poales; Poaceae. The record is from RNAcentral.
ACCCCUUCAUAAGCAAUUUUUAUCUACCCACUAGACAUUUUAGAAACAUCUGUGAGAAAAAGGAAUUUUGACAAGAAUAAAAUAGGAGGGGAAAAGGAGUUUGAAAGCAAGAGCUUAAAAGACUAGCACUCCUCUUGCAUCACACACCAUUAUCACAUGCUCACAAGGUAGUGCAAAACCACCACUUAAUCUUAGCAAGAUCACAUGCACUCACAACACCACAACACUACUCCUAUCAAACUCAAAUGCAACAUGAUCAUGGCAUGCAAUCAUAAGUAUGGCAAGGAAUGAUAUGUAAUUCAUGCAUGCAAGGGAAGUAAGCACUAGGGAACACACAUGAAUUCAUGGCACAAAAUGAUAUCACCAAGAUCUCUGACAAGGUGGCCCCACAUGGAAGGUUACAAGAAAGGAAAGUCUACACUUGGGGCAUUACAA